This 460-nucleotide ribosomal RNA is filed under the name uncultured bacterium. RNAcentral's name for it is "partial 16S ribosomal RNA". It matches the Rfam family "Bacterial small subunit ribosomal RNA", at positions 338 to 795 of the family's 1533-position model. The record is from RNAcentral.
CCUACGGGAGGCAGCAGUGAGGAAUAUUGGUCAAUGGACGGAAGUCUGAACCAGCCAUGCCGCGUGCAGGAAGACGGCUCUAUGGGUUGUAAACCUCUUUUGCCGGGGAGCAACGGGCGCCACGUGUGGCGCCACUGAGAGUACCCGGAGAAAAAGCAUCGGCUAACUCCGUGCCAGCAGCCGCGGUAAUACGGAGGAUGCGAGCGUUAUCCGGAUUUAUUGGGUUUAAAGGGUGCGUAGGCGGAGCGUUAAGUCAGUGGUCAAAUUGAGGGGCUCAACCCCUUCCCGCCAUUGAAACUGGCGCUCUUGAGUGGAAGAGAAGUAUGCGGAAUGCGUGGUGUAGCGGUGAAAUGCAUAGAUAUCACGCAGAACCCCGAUUGCGAAGGCAGCCUUCCGGCGCCCUACUGACGCUGAGGCACGAAAGUGCGGGGAUCGAACAGGAUUAGAUACCCCAGUAGUC